Molecule: long non-coding RNA, 599 nt
Organism: Gorilla gorilla gorilla (western lowland gorilla)
Lineage: Eukaryota; Metazoa; Chordata; Mammalia; Primates; Hominidae
Exons: 3
Source: RefSeq, a predicted model, not a curated record
GAGGAUGGGAAUCACACCUAAAGAUAACUCUGAUGGAAGUCCUAAUGAUAUAAACUUGAGGAAGACCCUAAACCUGCCAAUAAUAUUUGGAAAGAGACAGAAUCCUUUUCGACUAGCCUACUUCUACUAUAAACUUCAUUAAAUGGAUUCAUAUUUUAUUGAAGCAGGGUUUUGGUACAAUUUUCUUAGUAGGGACUUUUUCCCAACCCAAUAUUUCAUCCAAGAGUCGAAAAGCUGAUCAGAGUUGGCAUUAUUCCCCAGAGGGUUUGCAGGGAGAGAAGUUUCACGUGUCAACAAAGGACAGACUCCCCUACAGUCAACUGUGCAGCUCCACCUCAAGGCCUGUAUGCAUGCACUUGGCUAGAACUGCUGCAAAGGGGCUUCUUCAGCAAUAAAUCAAGAGUGAAAGAACACGAAAUAAACCAUGUAAUUACACUUUUAAGUGACACCAGCACAGGAAUGCAAGAGAGCAAGGCAUGAGUACUCAUGGAUUUGCAUUGAUUCACUGACACUCUUUCACCUUGUUUAGUGCCCUUUUUGAAAAACCAACAGCGUAUAUGGCUCAUGAUAUCAGGCUGGGAUUAGAAGAGCAAACUGCC